CAGACUGGAGAUGAUGGAGACCGAGAGAGACCAAGAUGGAGACCCAGUAAUGAUGAUGAAGCUGUAAGGUGGUGGAAACAGGUGAUCCUGCUGGCUGGGCCAAGCCUCCACAUUCAAAAAGAAUUGGACUGUUCCCAGGCUCUCUCAUGCAUCUCUAAGCUCUCCAACACAGGACAAUUUACUGGCUGGGAGCAGCAUAGCCAAGGACCAAGAGCUGGAGACCUGACUGAGGAACGGCUGCAUGACGCCCCAGCCUGCAGGAAGCUGAACUAAACCCUAUGCCUCCAGCGUCCCUCACUUCUCACUUCUUCUCUCUUCUGCUUCGCCUCUGAGAGAGCGGUUCUCUAACAAAGAUCUCAGCGGCCGCCGGCCAACUCUGACCCUUCACCAUCAUGGCACUCCAUUGGUUCUCUGUUGUGCCGCUGAAAGAACCCUCCGCGUCCAGACACUGACAUUUGAUUCUGCAGGAAUUACUGAGGCCCACCCCUCUGACCCGAGUCAUCAAUGUCCACCCAGCGUACAGAGUGAGAAGCCUCCUGAGUGUUCGAUCGUGGGGCAGGAGUUUCCAAUACCUGCUUGCCUGGGAGGGUUAUGGCCCGGAGUAGGGGUGCUGGGUCCCCGCUAGAGACAUCCUGGACCCAGCCCUCAUCGCCGACUUCCACCGCAGGGCAACCCGGUCAACCAG
Molecule: long non-coding RNA, 685 nt
Organism: Oncorhynchus tshawytscha (Chinook salmon)
Lineage: Eukaryota; Metazoa; Chordata; Actinopteri; Salmoniformes; Salmonidae
Source: Ensembl